AGUGAACGCUGGCGGUAGGCCUAACACAUGCAAGUCGAACGGCAGCACAGUAAGAGCUUGCUCUUACGGGUGGCGAGUGGCGGACGGGUGAGGAAUACAUCGGAAUCUACUUUUUCGGGGGGGAUAACGUAGGGAAACUUACGCUAAUACCGCAUACGACCUACGGGUGAAAGCAGGGGAUCUUCGGACCUUGCGCGACUGAAUGAGCCGUUGUCGGAUUAGCUAGUUGGCGGGGUAAAGGCCCACCAAGGCAACGAUCCGUAGCUGGUCUGAGAGGAUGAUCAGCCACACUGGAACUGAGACACGGUCCAGACUCCUACGGGAGGCAGCAGUGGGGAAUAUUGGACAAUGGGCGCAAGCCUGAUCCAGCCAUACCGCGUGGGUGAAGAAGGCCUUCGGGUUGUAAAGCCCUUUUGUUGGGAAAGAAAAGCAGCAGGUUAAUACCCCGCUGUUCUGACGGUACCCAAAGAAUAAGCACCGGCUAACUUCGUG
This 492-nucleotide ribosomal RNA is filed under the name uncultured bacterium. Its description in RNAcentral is "partial 16S ribosomal RNA". It matches the Rfam family "Bacterial small subunit ribosomal RNA", at positions 29 to 507 of the family's 1533-position model. The record is from RNAcentral.